This is a non-coding RNA of Triticum aestivum (bread wheat), 135 nucleotides long. NCBI's taxonomy places the organism in Eukaryota, Viridiplantae, Streptophyta, Magnoliopsida, Poales, Poaceae. The record is from Rfam.
CUUCUACCCCCUCCGUCCCAAAAUUCUUGUCUUACAUUUGUCUAGAUAUGGAUGUAUAUAGCACUAAAAUGUAACUAGAUACAUCCGUAUUUAGACAAAUCUAAGACAAGAAUUUUGGGACGGAGGGAGUACUUC